UGCUUGAAGACCAACCACACUGAGCUGCUGGAUCAAACAGCCCCGGAGUGCACCAUAACCUUGGAUUUCUGUAUGCGAGUCAUUUCAUUUUCUCUUAAAGCUGACUUUAGUGGAGUUUCUUUUUCUUUGCAAUUAAAACACCCUAAUGGUCCCCCCUCAAUUUGGACGAACCCUCAGUCUCAUGGUUCAGCAUGCUUCUCACUCAAUGUUCACCUAAGUGCGGGUGCUUGUCUAUUAGCACCUUAAAAAUGCAAAAUGUGAAUUGAAAUUUCUAACAUGAUAUUUUUAAGUUUGUUCUUUUAUAAUCUACAAUGUUUCAACAAAUUAGUGUUGCACACAAUAAAAAUUGUGCAAUUGCAAGUACACAAACACACAAAUACAUUAUUCCCUCCAAAACGUUGAUUUUUUUUUCCCCUCGUUAAGAUUACACUAAGUAGACAGUAGGGCUCUAGUAAAAACAGUGAGCAAAAACCAUAGUAACAGGCAUGACACCAAGGAUAUCACAAUAGCCCACAAUCUACCUAUAACACAGUUUGUUGGAAUUAAAUUAAAAUCUAAAUGUUAACAUUUGUGUACUUUGCAAAUUAAGAGUUAACAUAUUGUAUUCCUCAAUUACUCCAUAGACCAGAACUAGAAAAUAAAACAUAAAAUUGAAGUCCCUGUACUUUUCCUUAAUAAGGUCAUCUAAAUUUUGAGACUCCUAUACAUUUUCCAGAUGUAGAUUCCACAUUAAUUUCACAAUUUAAUUUUGAAACAUACAUUUAUUUCAAGUGUUCACAGAUGUUAGAAUUCAAAUACUCAUAUUUAAGACACAUACAUUCUCUGGCAGUAGUAAAUAUAUACUAUAUUUUUGAAGAAUUCACAGAACACUUCAAAAAAUGUUUGUGUAAGGUCGAAGAAAAAAGUAACGACAUUUUAACUGAAAUCUGCCUCAUGACAAUUAUGAAAGAACAAAAGCAGAUAAUUAACCUGUUUAUUGUAAUAUAAACACCAGUAAGUUUUAGAUAAACUAUCUAAUGAAUGGUCUAGAAUAUAACAAUAUGGUAAACAUCAUCUCCAAACAAAUUUUUAAAUAUUUGACUUAAGUGGAAAAUAAAAAGCAAUAGUAUUGGCAUUUGCCCAAGACACUCACUUGCAGGUUCCUGUAUUGAUUUUCUAGAUCUACAGAGUAUCUUUCAUCUCGAGAAUUCCAAUGUAAUGUCAAAAAUCUUGAAAAUAACCAGGGGCUAACACACUGCCUAGUUCUCCUCAAAAAACUCCCUAAGCGAUUAUAUAUCCAUCAACAUGUAAGAAUCAGCUUAAACAAUUAUAUUUAAAGAAUAACUCUUGGAGGCCAGGCACGGUGGCUCACGCCUGUAAUCCCAGCAGUUUGGAAGGCCGAGACAGGUGGAUUGCUUGAGCCCAGGAGAUCGAGACCAGCCUGGGCAACAU
Molecule: long non-coding RNA, 1431 nt
Filed under: Homo sapiens (human)
Lineage: Eukaryota; Metazoa; Chordata; Mammalia; Primates; Hominidae
Description: HSALNT0115968
Source: RNAcentral